Molecule: non-coding RNA, 19960 nt
Organism: Phalacrocorax carbo (great cormorant)
Lineage: Eukaryota; Metazoa; Chordata; Aves; Suliformes; Phalacrocoracidae
Source: RefSeq, a predicted model, not a curated record
GUAAAGGCUAUGAAGGUUGGGGGUGCACAAGAAGAUGGAAGGUGACACAGCCGAGACAGCAGACCCCAAGUGACCAAAGGGGUGUCCCAUAUGUACCAUAUGACAUCGUGCUCAGCGAUAAAAGCUCAGGGUAAGGAGGAAGGGAGGACGCUCCGAGUUACGGCAUUUAUCUUCCUGAGUAACUGUUAUGUGUGAUGAAGCCCUGCUCUGCAGACGGUGGUUUGGGGAGUCUCACCUGAUCCAUCUCAAAAUGCCGUUGCAAGGAGCCUUGUGACAAACUCCUGGUGCCACCCAGACAGCAACCACCCAUCCUGCUAAAGAGAUUUGAUUCCACCAUAUUAAGAUAAUUUUCCCCAAGUCAAGUCUGUUUUGCCUGCCAGAGUACCUGGUAAGCAACCACCCUGUCUUUAUCUUGACCCACAAGCUUUCUUGUCUGUGUUCUUCCUAUUUCCACCCCGAUCCUGCUGGGGGGGGGGGGGGGGUGAGCAAGCAGGUGGGCGGGGGUUUGGCCAUUAGCCAAGGCUAACCCACCACAGCUAUCGACAAUGGUCAAAGCUGCAUUCCAGAUUAGACAAUGAAGGGAAUGAAGUGAUAAAUGCCUGAAAAUGGGAUCUUCCCAGCAAAUAAUCACAUGGUUACAGCCAUCACAGAAGUUGUUCUACAUUGCUGUAAGAAGAGUUGAAAUAUUGAUUCUGUGUGCCAUUAGAACAUGAAUUUAUUCUGUGUUUACAGUCUAAGAAAUCAAAUGCUUAACAAAAGACAGACAUUAAAAACAUAAUACAAUCCUCUCCAAAGAAAUGGUGCAACAACAGACACCUCUUCAGGAUCAUAUCCAGAAGGACAACUGCAGCCCUUUCCACCCAAUGGUCCUCAGAUUCCAGCACCGUGAGUCUUUUCCAGUUUGGCACUGUAAGUCAAGCGCUCUGUACGCAGUGACUUACUGAUUUCACUCCCUUUUCACAGUGCACAAAUAGCACGACAAAAUAUAAUAAACUAUGUAAUUUUUAUAUUUCAACCCUCUGCAUUUGUUUAACUCAUUGCAAUCAUAAACUGCUACUCUUGAGGAAUAUGUUCUGAGGGGCCUAACUGUGCACUGUUGAAAGUGAAGUAUUCAUACAUUUUUGCUUUAUAGUCCCAGUGCAGUGAAACAUAAUCAUCCGUGGUGUGACACAGCUGUGAUAAUGGUGAAUGGUGAAAGGUGAUGUGUGAAAUAGCUAUGAACCUUCCUGAAGAGUGGUCUGAACACUUCCUGAAUCACCUGAAAGCAUCCUGUUUCAAGAAGUAGGACACCAAAGCAAGAGUUACAAGAUAAUAAAGCAUAUUGGUGUUUUUUGUGAGGGAGUGUAGAGAAAGUGUGGUUAAGUUAAAAUUGACCAUCUAGAUGAUGCCAGUGUUAGUAGUAGCUUCUGCCUGGAGAAUUAUGUGCUAUCAAGGAAAUCAAUGUUGAAAUGAAGUGAUCUUGACUUAUGUUGGAUUAGGCAGAUUCGAGAUCCAGAAAAACAAAUUUCAGAUACUCCUAAAUUAUGAAUUGUAUGGCCAGAUAGUCUGUAAAUUGUUAAUUGGUCCAAGAAUGACCAACUCAGCCUUACAAUAAUUAAAAUUAAAAACUCUCCAAAUAUUGUCUCAUUCCAUUUUAGUAUCUUUAGGCGGCCACAGUGAUUUAUCAUUUAAAGGCACUCAGAUUUAUAAGCAAUCUAAGGAGUAUUCAUGAAUCAGCAUAUCUGGUAAGGUAUAAUCCACAUCCAGGCCUACUAUGUCCAGGUGGAGACGUUGUCAUUGUGUUUAAUUUUCUGUUUGGAAAAAUUAGAUCAGACUGGAAUACAAUGAAAUUGGAAUUGAAAACUCACAACGAAUCCGUCCAUUAUGAUGUCAGACAUUAUACAAAUGUUAUGAGGAAACAUGAAAAGAAAAGGUGGUUGUUGGUGUUUUUUUUUUCUUUGCUUGUUUGUUUUUUUGGUUUUAGCAAAGAACAGGUAUGAAUGACACAUCCUGGAAUAAAUUUCAACUGGAAACUGCUUCUUAACUGUUAGACAAGUAAGGAAGUAGAAUUACUGCUGAGAAGGAUGAGUUAGAGAAAAUUCAGUGAUUGAAAAUGAAAUGUAUCACUUUAUGGAGGGUUUAUGUGAUACAGUUGCUUACAGCAAUGAAGCACUGUAUUUGGUCAUCCAGGAAACCCUUUCAGUCCCCAUGUUUGUGAUGACAGUGCAGAAGUUCCCGAUUCCUGAAAUUAACUGCGAGUUAACAAAUAAGUUGUAUUGCCAGGCUCCUGAGGAGCCUAUGUGAUGCUUAUAUGAUGCUUAUAGGUAAUGCAAUGCUAUCUGUCUGGAGAUUAUAUUUUUACAAAUGUUAAAUCUUUCAAGCGUUUGUAUGUAUUUUCUUGGUACAUUUUACUUUCCUGUGGUGAAUCAUACAAGGUGCGUAACGUGGAGCUUAAAACCAAGUGGACGUUACUGCUAUGAGCUAAUGGUACAGAUUCCGCUUUUCCCCUACUCCCAAGGAAAUUUAGUGCAGUAGCUAAGGCUGAGCCCGGGAAGGUCACUGCUGUCACCGACAGAGCUGGAUGUCAGGUUACAGUGGGGGAAGGUGGCGUUCAGAGACAGGGAAAAUGUCUAGAGCAGGUUCUUUUGUUUACUCAAUUGGGAAGAAGCUCCUUAACUUUAAAGAAACAGGAAAUUAAAAAGAGCUCGGUUGUACCGGUUUAUAUGCACAGGGCUUCAGCCGUAUGAGGAUUGGUGCAAGACUGAGAAUAUAAAUAGAUUUGGACUGCAGCUGCUGUUUUAUUUUUCAGUAUUUUUUCCAACUGCUAGUAGAGAAGGGGCACAGAUAUAAUUUACUAUUUUGUUAUUUCUGUUGUGCUAGGAAUUGCUCAACCAAACACCAUAUAUACACACACCCGGCAUACGAAAAAGACAACUUCUGUAUUCUGACACAGGGUAUUAAGUCUUUUGUCCCAAGUUGGGCAACUAAUCAGAUAGAAACAUUUAUUAAGAUGUUUAAUUUGAAUACUUUUUGAAGUAAAACAAGAGAAAGCAAUUUUCCUAAUAUCGUGUGUGAGCUACAGUGUUAAGAAUGCAAAUUUACUGUUUUUCUUAGGUAUCAAACAGUUCAACAGACAGACAAAAUAUGCCUGAAUAAUGCAACUAUAGCAGGGCUCUGUGUGCCUAUAGCCCCUAGAUAUAUAACUAAGGAGGAUUUACAGGCAGUCCCUAGACAGCUGGCUAAGAAAGGUAAUUCCAGGACGUAUCUUAAUUCAGUUUGAUCUUGAGGAAGGGAUGGUAUAUCAGACGUACAUCUCCAGAGUUGUCCCUGAGAGGACCAUAUUAGACAUUACUAGAAGAAUUCUCAUCUGUUUUCUCCUUUCUGUUCUCAUGGGAGGUAAUCAUGGCUUGGUUUUGCUUCCUGCCACAUGAAAAAACCACAGAGCGGACCACAGGUCUGCCAAGUAACUGUUCAAGUAAGUAUAAAGCAAGAAAGGCUAGGUGCAGCUCCUGUGAACAGACGGUGAAAGGAGUGAUACAGCCAUGAAACUGCUCCUCUGUUACUAGACUGGCAUGAAAAGAGAUGAAGACUUUUGCACAUUCGCUCCCAAAUUCUAGGUGGCCCACUGAGAAGUUUAUAAUACUAACAUAAAUGCACUAGGGUUUAAUUAAUGAUGCCUGCAUCUAUAGCUCCGGAAGCUUUACAGUUAAAAAAAUAAAAGCCCUAUUACUGAAAAUAAAACUAAGAUUCCAGAAAAAUAAUGCUUGAUCAGUAGUGCUGUAAGGGUUGUCAGUUUGUUGGUGUGUAAUCAUAUACACACACACUCUCACACGCUUACUUAAAUAAAAAUUAAAGGCAAACUCUUGCAAUUACAGUUGGCCAGGAUUUUUUCCAAGAUUAGCUUCAUGAGAAAGUGACAAUUUGUUAAAAGAUUUGAAGAAAAGGUCAGUUUCUGAUAAAGCUUCAGAAGGAAAGUUAUUUCAAGUCCAUCAUGAAUACCUGCUAAUGAAAGACCUAGCAGGCUGGUUCUUAUGGCAUUCAUUAAGGGGUGAGAGAAGCAAGGUCUUAGGGCUGAUUUAGUGGCUAUUCCUGUGUUUUCCCUCAGAAAAGCUCAGGUUAGCAGAAAUACAGAAAGUAACUAAGGGAAGGGGAAAAAACCCCAAAGUUCUGCAUAGAUGUCUUGCAGCAAUCCAUCUGGCUCCAGUCAUAGUUUUACAUGAGCUUAACCCCUCCAAACAGAUUCUCCCUCACUUUUUCUCACUACCUGUUAAUUACUUUACAGCAGUUUUAUUGUUAAGAUUGCCUCUUUACCAGAGAAAGUGAUCAUUGUUUGAAUGAAUAGGGAAGUACCCAGUGAUGGCAAAGAUCACUGAACCCUGAAAUUGCCAUACAAUUAAGUCUUAGGUGGCAGUCUGCAUUUACAUUGACUGUAAAAUGCCUUCCCCUUCCCUUCCGUCGUUCGUUCCCUCCAAGCAGAUUUGCUCUGUACAUGCUGAAGUGUUGAGUUCUGAGUGCUCUCAAGUUUUUGUUGUGGAAUCAAAAGUAAAAUCCAUCGCCUUUGUGUCUUACUAUAAAAAUCCUUUUUGUGACUGGAGAGAGUGUGCAACUAUUGCAUUAAGAAUGCAGUCAGUCAAGUGCCAGCACAGAGUGGCUCCGUAGACCACUGCAGCAAUGAACUAUUCUCUUAGACAAGAGGCAAAUAAUAGAGUCAGCUAUAGAUUUUUCUCUUACUUCAUCUUUCUUGGGUAUCUUUAUUUUCAUAGGGAAUCAUGUAAUGCCUUUACACUGAAAAAAGUCAAAGCAGAAAUACUAGUAAAAGAACUCGGUGGUGUUUGAAAGCACCUACUACAGUUUGCCAGCAUCUGAAUUUUUGUCAGAUGUCUCCAUGUUUGAUUUCUGCCUUUAGCAGCUGUUUCAAGUCAAAGAGACAGGCCUUAUCUUGUAUAAAUUAGUACUGAUCUGUAACAGUAGUUGGGAUACAUAGGUGUUCAAAUAGACAUAACAUUUAAUUCAUAGGUCAUAAUUACUCUGUGCUUAGCUUUCCAGUUACGGAACUGCAAGUCUCAUUUAUAUGCAGCACAGUUAACAGUAUGGAUCUUUUGGUAGAGGCAAGAAGAGGAUGUCCUUAUAUUAAAAAAAAAUCAGAAAGUUAUCUUGCUCAAGAAGCAACAAAUUAAACCAACUUUACCGUGUAUAAAUGCCAUACAGUUUUUGCAUCAAAAUGACAAAAUGUUGAUAGGGAAUAUGGUGGGAGAUGUUUUAGGAUAUUACUAGUUUAACAAUAACAAGAAAGUCUACAUGCAGAUGCUGAAAAAUAUCCAAGGCAGAGGGUUGUAAUAGCAUGCUCUCACAAAGGUGUCAAGGAGGCCAUAACAAUAUAUAUUUCUUCUUAAGUGAAGAGAGGAAAAAAUGCCAUGAUAAAAGCAGACCCAGGAGCAUACAUUAGUCUUUGUUGCAAUUUCCAUACUUAAUCAGGAUACAAAGCAAGACAAAUAACUAAAAGCUAUGCCGGCAGAGUUAUAGAAGUUUGUGAAAAAUGUCAGAAUCAAAACUCAUGUAGAUCUCUAGCCAUGGUAUGAACAAUUAUGAGUUUGUAACAUUUUGUAUCAGUGCAAAAACUUAAGUAGGGAACAGCAAUACCCGUUUAUAGGCAAACACUACCAAAAGGUGUUGGAUACCUACUUAAAUAAUUUUAAAAAUGCCCAUAGGCAAUAUAACUGAUGGAUGGAUUCAAUUUAUUUUUUUAAGAUGAGCUUAGAAGCUUUUUUAAUCCUUUACUGCUAGUGUUUCAUUCUUUCUCUCCACUGCUCUUGUAUGUUGUGGAAGUCCCAAACUCAAAUAGAACAUGAAAGAAAUUAAGUGUAUGCUUCAUAUCUGUGUAACUGAAGAGCUGUAAAGGAUUUUAAGGGCCUCAACUCAUAUUUUUUGAAUACCCAGAUGAUGGAGAUAUAAAAUACAUCAAGUCAGACCUUAUAACCUUGGUCCCUCUCAAAAAAAACCAAGGAAGCCUUUUAUAGUAAAGUGGACUUUGGCUGCAGUGAGGUUUGGCAAGUGUUCCUGGCUGCCACAGCACAUUUGUAGCUAGACUGACAGUGGAGGUUCUCUAAACAUCCAAGCACAGCCAGGUUUGUCAUGUCCUGGUUCUUGAUGUUUGUAAAGUAGUCUUGCUCCUCUCUCAUAAAACACCGUGUAACAGAACCAAGUAUUCAGCAAUCUAUGACAGGAGACACUAUUAUUUUGGAAGCACAACUAUUUUUCUUCAAAUUAUCCUGUUGACAAGACAAAAGGCUCAAAAAUUAGUUUUUGUCCCAAUUUUGACCAAUCUUUGAAUUGAGAUCCUUCUCAGUUUAAAAGUUUAAAAUGCCUCAAAAUGUUUGUAUAAGUCUUCCAUUAUAACAAAAGAUAAAAAUAAAGAUCACCAUAUGUGUUAUAUAAGAUUUAAGGUCUAUCCCUCUGAAUUAGAUUAAACUAAAUUAAAAUUGACAUUGUUGCUUUAUUUCUCAGUGCUCUGCUAGUGGAGUCAUGUUGUGAAGCGUUACAAUUCAAGACCAGCAAAGAAAACAGUAUUCAAACAGUAUUCAAUUCUACCUGCUUUCGCAAAGAGAAACAUAGCAACAGAUUUGCUCUCUUUUAACUAAAAAAGGCUAAAUUAUUUUAAAAUAUGUUGAAGCUUUAUGCAAGUGUAUGUCCAUCAACAAUAACUGAAAACCAACAGAAAUUCAAGCAAUGGUCUUGCCCUCCCCCUUCCAGCAGUGUUCUCUCAACUUACAGUCCUUCCUCAAAUGUAUCGUUGGCAGUCCUACCAGCGUGCAGCAAAAAGAAAAGCCUGUGAUGCCAUAAAUAGCGAAGAACCCCAAAACAAGGCCCUAACACACCCUCCCGCCUGCUCCCACAUCCCACACAUUUCUGCGGUGCAGCUAGAAACCCACACCCCAGCUGCGGCAAUCAGAAUUCCCACAAAGCUGUACAGAAGGGGGGGGGGGCGGUGAGUGAUAUUUUUUGCUUUGAAGUGCAGGACUUCAAACCAAAAGUUAGGUAUUUUACAGUUUUUGUCCAUUUUCCAUUACUUUAAGUGUAGUGUUGUUUUCCAAUAUUCAAAAGAAAAGUUAUUCCAAGCAAUAUGCUUUCCAUGGGAAGCACUGCAGUAAUGCUCUUGAGCAUAGAUUCUGAUUAAACAGUGGUGAGCCUUGCUGUCAGUAGCCUAUUUGCUAGCCACUCUUCAGAGACAAACACGGAUUUUACAUCUGUGCUUUUCUCUAAAAGCAGUUGGUGACAUAUGAAAAGAUUUGAUUUGUAAAGGUCUGAGGCAAUAGACUUCAUCUUUAUAGCAUACAGAGAAAGGAAGCAUGAAGCAGUGAAUCCCACAGCUGCUGAGAGAAGAACCAUUCUUUUCCAAGAUCACCAUUUAUCAGACAGAUGAAAGAGGAAUUCAUUUCUGUGAGAAUUGUCUCAACCGCAGUGCAGAAUAUAUAUACACUACCUCCUCAAGCAUGUGCAGUUUUAAUGAGUUUCCACCUGCCAACAAAAUCUGAAGUUCUGCAGACUCCCUUGCGCCCCGCUACACCUUUAUUUCGACUUGUUAAAAACUUCUCAUUCAAACAGUAUGCUCUAACUUUAUAUAAAUGGGCUGAAUCCGCUGCAUAAAAAAUCAACCAAUAAUCACCCUUUUUUUUUAAGUAAGAAUCAAUAAUCAUCAGUAAUCACCCUUUGUUUUUAGGGUGUGGACAUCUGAAAAUCCAUAUAUGUAAAGCUUUCAAUAUCAGGGAAUACGUGGCGUGAGGUAUGAGGUAAAGGACAACUACAGCCAUAAUAUGCACAAACUCACAGCAAUUUCUAGAUAUCCGCAGAUGCAAACAGCAAAAUCUGACAUAAUAACUUGAAAAAUUAUUUAUACUUAAUUAACUUGCAUAUUUGGACAGCCGUAGUGUGUUCUUAGUAGGUCAUAUAUAUUAUCAGCUGCAAAGUCUUAAAUGGAAGAUAUUUUAAGGCAUUAAGAUGUUAGCUCUUUAACGCUCCACAGAUACGGCCAAUGCACAGCAACGACGGCAUAGGCACUACUCUAACAAUUCUACCAAGUUCAGGCAUUAGGGUGGGUGGGAACUCUUUUUAUAAAUAGCAAAGAACUUGAAUCUAAAUUUCAGUCACUCAGUUACUUUGAUCCUAUAUUGAAGUCAGUUAUAGAAAACAGCAAAGGAAAUAAAAUCAUAGACAAAGCAGUGUUAGUGAUUAAAAAAAUUAUUUCAGUGACAAACAUUGAAAAAAUGUAUAAAACUUUAAACAGAGAUAGACAAAGAAGAUAAGAUUUUCCUUUAGUAAACCCCUCUUAGAUAUUGAUUGCUGUUUCUCUUAGAAGAAUUUUGCUAGCUAUCUUAAAGAAACUGUCCUUUGAGCAUAAAACCAGUAGAGACCAAUUAAAACACAGAACAUCCUCCAGUAACUUACACUGGACAGCCAGAACUAAAAUAUUUUUAGUACAGCUUAGGAAGUCAGAGCGUUCUGGAAAUUGCAUACUCUGUUUGAUCUUUUUACAGAUAAAUGAGCAGAAGGCUCAGAAGAACUAGCAUUUAUUUGAAAAAUAGCUUUUUAUAUCCAGUAAGAAAAUAUGUAAAUAUAUAAAAUCUUUCUCUAUCCCAUAUUGAAGUUAUCUGAAACAACUCUCCAUGUAUUUCUUUAGAUUUUAAGUAAAUUUUAAUUGUUUCAUUUAUCAUGAAAUCAAGAGAGAUGUCUCAAAACUUCAGUCAAAUAUUUGAAGAUAAAUUUCACAGAAAUAUAAAAAUUAAACUUGCAUGAGUUAGUGUUUUGUUUGAAGAAGCUUUAGGCACCUAGGUUAGUUAGAAUCUUUAAAAUAUGAAUCUUAGAUUAUGAUAUUGCACAGAAAGUCCAAAUUCUUUGGCAGAGAGUCACCUGGUAAGGUGGUAAGAAUUAGAAACAGUUAUUGUUUAAAGCAUCCUCCAUAAUAUGUUUGGACAUAAAUGGAAAAGGUGUUUUUUUAAAAGUCAUAUAAUAAGGGUUUUUCAAUGAGGUAUUUAAGUCUGCAGUUGUUUACCAGGGCUCCAGCAUCCAUUUCUUUGCUUUUGAGGGUUCCGUCAGUGUAAACACAAGGCAGUGAGUAUCAUCUGUACUCUAUUGUAUAUUAACCCAUCUCUGGUUACUUCAAAAUUUGAGCAGGAUUAAGAAACGUAUAGUUUGAUUCUCACUGAGGAAGCACAGGUAAACACUGGAUGCUAAUAGCCCAACUCUUCCCGCAGCAGCCACAGAACAGUAAACCAGGUCACCAUCUCUCUGGGCCGGGUGACGUCGGCAGCUGGACACUUUUAGCAGCUAAUUUGUCUACUAUUGUCCAGCUCUAAAUCCAGACUCCAGAAGAAAAUGUGGAUAACUUCUUUUUCCUAUUUCCAAAACUUGAUUCUUUCUACUGUGUUCUUUCCUGAUCUUUACUCUGUCCUUUCUAAUCUUUAUUCUCUCAGCUGCAGUCUGAAAGCCUCCUGGGUCCCCCGCUUCCCCCUCCUGAAACUUCAGACUCCUCUCAGCCCUUUUUACUCACCUUUAUAUCUGCAGUCCUCUCGUAUUCUCAACCUUUAACUUCCAUUUCUAAAAUUUCCGCAGUUGCUCUCCUCCAUUCCACCCGAUUUCUCAAGAGCUCAGUCAACUGCCAGUGCAAAAAAAAAAUGUUUAGUUUUUUUUUCCUACAGUGCUGAAAAGUCUCCAGCUAUGUGUACACGUCACAAAGGGUCCUCUUAUCUCACCCCUUCUGUUGUGUCAGCAAAUGCCAUGAAAUCUAAGCAAUCUAAGCAAGCUUUGUACCUCUAUCAGGCGCUGCUUCAUAUCCUUUUCUGCUGUUCAGCUCUAAAACUAAUGUUCCCAGACCAAGGUCAGACUAGCUGUUUCCUUUUUAGGCUUAUGUCUUUUACACACAGAUCCUGCCCUAUUACCAUGUUCAUUUCGGUCAGUUAUUUUUUUCCACUGUGUCAGCAGGGGAUUACCAAGAACACAAGCUCCCAGUUCUAACCAAGAGCCCUUUCUCUGCAUUCCUCCUUCCAGCUCUAAGCAUCACGAAGCAGCCGUUGCACUCUAGGAUGGCGUAUUUCCAGUCCUUUCGCUUUCCAAAGCUGGGGCCGUUGCUGCAUGCUCAGUUAGUCUGAGGAGAUAGUUCAUUAGUAGUCUGGACAUGUAGAUGCUGUGUGAGAACAGACAAUAUCCAGUCUGCUCAGGCAAAAAAAGUUGUUAAGGGCUUGCCUACAAGAACACCACUUUCCAAGAAUUAACCAAAAUUCUUAGUAUUAUGAUUUAGAAAAGGUGGAUAGGUUUUCAUAGGGUCAGGAAAGGCGUAGUAAUGCUACGGGCUGUCACGUUACGUUUCUGCACCAAAGUCCAAGUUUUUCAAAAAGCAAGGGCUCAAGAGAAUGAAGGGGAAGUAAAAUCCAAACUAAAAAACCCUAACAAAGCAGCACUAUGCUACUGUCUUAGGUUACCUCAGAGACAUCUGCAACUACUUCAGUUGAAAUGAAAUGAAAUGAAUAAAAUAAAAUAAAAUAAAAUAAAAUUAAAUUAAACCAAAACAUUGAAGGGAAUAUGUAUGUGUAUCUGUUUGUGUGUAUAUAUAAAAAUCUAGAACAGCCAUUUGGAAUGGAAGAAUGCAUAUAGCUGCUUGGCAAAGUUAUGAGCUAGUGAGGACUACACUCUACUAAAGAAAGUAUCAGAAAACCUUAAUGAUAGCCAUGCUGACAUCCCCACUUAAAAUGUAUAUGCUAUCAAGACAGCCAGCAAAAAGGAUCUCUUCCUAAUGGGGCUGUGUAAAGCAGUCUAGGUCUUCAGCUUUUGUAAAAUGGAACCCUGUUCUCAUUAAAAAUGAGGCUUUUGGGCAAAAAAGAGCCCCAACCCUACACAAUCUCGUGUGUGUUUCCAUGACAAGCAGCCUUUAUUUGCAUUCUCUUUUCACAGUAAGCUUUCAGCAGCAGAAUCAUAAAGACCCCCAGGGAAAUGCAUCAGUUAUUCUGUCCUCAGAGAGUACAUUUAUGCCAUAUCAUUGCUACCUUAAAAGAGGUUUCUUAUUGUCCUCAGGAGAACAUUUCAGUUGCAUUACCCUGGCAGUGGCUGCUUCCAAAUGUAUUUUCAUCCUCAGGAAGAGCUGAUGACGACGCUUUGUUGGUAAGAAAAUCAGAAGAGUUUUCACAAACAUUUAAAUUCAGCUAUACUAGAAAUUCCUUGUCAGCUUAUGAAAGCAUCUUUGAGAAGCAAAGCAUCGUAGGCUUCUUUCUGGGUUCACAGAGUUUUGCAUUAGUGGAAGGAGAAGAAACUGAAACUUGCUCACAGAAGUACAAAGAAAAAAUCCAGCAACCUAGUGGGGUAAUACUGGGCAUCCUAGAGCACUACGUUAUCUGUUCCGCAUGCACAUAAGAAACCGUAAUAAUAUCUUGUCUUUAAUCUUUAGAAAAUAAAAAGAAUUAUCAGUGCCAGUCACUCCUGAGACUAAGGUAACUCAAUAAACUAAGGUAACUCAGGGCAACCUGAGUAUUUUUUACCUGCAGGGUAUUAGACUUGAAGAAGGAUGGAAAUUGAAUCUAUCCUUCAUCCAAAUUGAAAAGUGAGUGAAACUCACAAUUUCACUACAGCUUUAAGAUAACAUUUGUUUUUAAUCAGCUUUAUAAAGAAAACAGGGAUAAACAACUUCAGAAAAGACCAAAACCCAAAACCAUUCUAGUUUAAAAAAACAUUUGAGAAGUAUUUAGGGGAAAAUGGGUUGCCCCUGCAAAGCAUCAUACAAAUCUUGGAAUAAAAAUCACUCUUUCCACUUUCAUUACUAAGGCAGAAAAAGCAAAGCAAGUGGGAAUGGCUCUGUAGCCAUAGCAACAUUUGCCAUUAUUUUUUUUCAAAGAAUUUUUGAGGCACUACAAUUUGGAUUCUGCAUUCUGAGGAUAAAGUUUGUAUCAAGGAAAAGAAUAGAAUAACUUUAUUUUGUUGCAGUGCCUUAUUUAAGUGCCAAUUUCUUUUUUUUUCCAGGAAGAACUAGCUUAAAAAAAAGGUUGCAUGCAAACAAUAAGAAAUGUAAUUGCUUACACAUUUUUUUUUCUUUAAUAAGGUGUAAGACAUAGUAUGUAGCUCUCAGGAGAUAGUAUUUUGAAAUUAUUUCCAUGCAUGAAAACAUACUAAUUUAGAAUGGCUAAUUAUAAGAAAUUUGCAAUAAUGACAUGAAGUGUGGAAAAAGAAAUGUAAUUUCCAUAUAGUAUCAGCUUAAUCAUAAAAAUGUUAUUUUUCAUAAUCAUGGGUAUACAUUUCCUAGACACUGUUGCUUGGGGCAAAUAUAAAAAGCUUUCGCUCAGCUUCCCUUCCCCUUACCGGGCACAUACACUUUCAAUUUACAAUUAUUAUGAAGAAUUGUAUUCACAGCAGCUUACAAGCACAGCCAAUUAUUUCACCAACCCCCCCCCCCCCAGCUUACAAUUAAUACUCAUUGUUUAUGAAAAGCCAUACUCAGAAAUAAAGAUACAGUCAGAACACAGAAAGUACUUGAAAUUAUUGGAAGUUAAGUAUAUUGAAAUUCUAAAUAUUUUAAUCUGUAAGGCAAUCUGAACUUAUUCUUCCAAUAUUCCAAUCUAACCAAACAGCUCAGAUAAGCCACGGUCAUUGUCCAAGGGUUCUAGGAGUGCACUGGAUCUCUUUACAGGAUGGUGACAGGUAGGGGCAGGGAGAGAAGGUGACAGAAAGAAAGAGUCUUACUCAUUAAAAUAAGUUCUAGCUAUCAGAGAAAGAGUCGUGGAAGGAAAAAGACAGUGGUCUGGCAAUUGGGCGACGUGUAACGGCUUCCACAACUGCAGAUAUGGAAGUCCUUGCUCAAGUUACUUUUUCUACAUAUUUCAUUUUUAUUUGCGAAAUGAAGUAGUACAGUAAUGACACCUACAUGACAGUUAGUAAGGCACUCAAGUACCACCGAAAUGGCGAUCAUAAAGCCACGACAAAUAGUGCCUAGGGAUCCUUACAGCCUGGGGCUGCAUCCUGAUAAAAUCUUGCAUCCAGUUUGCUUUUUCUUUAUUUUCUUACUUUAGCAUUUCUUGUUAGAGGGCUCAAUUAGGAAUGCUCUUCCACGCUUAAGGUGGUAAAAUUUAUGUGAUUUAUUACCUAAUAAAGGUAAAGCAUUAGGAUUUUAUGUAAAUGGUAUGCGGCUCCCAUGAGGUAGCUAUUCUUCAGGCAAAACUGAGCUACCUGUUUUGCUUUUGGAUACAUGAGACACGGUAUCCCCUUUCAGGACUAAUCUAUGCUAUACGUAGCAAGAUUUAUUUGGAUUUAUAUGAAGGUCAUAUUGGCAACAAGAGAACUAGAAUUCCUGAGAUGUAACGUAUUUCAAAGCUUCAUGCCAAAUGAGGGAAGUAUCCUUUCAAAUUGUUAUGAGAAUAUAUCAGAAAUGAACACAUAAUAAAACUCUGCAUGUAGCUGAUAUCAUUCAUUUAUCCUGGCAGUUUCAAAUGAAAGGCAUUUUUGAUUUUGAAUGAGCACCAUCACGUGUGCAGCAGCCACUCACAGAAGCAAAGAGAGUGUAUCUCACUUUGGGAUCCUGAGCUGGGCCACGUGGAGUUUUUAAGGAUUGGCCAAAUGAGUCCAUUGACUGCGUUAAGGCUUCAACUUCAUUAGUAAAAGGAUGCCCUUUUGAUCUGCUUUAGUGUGUUUCAAUUCAAAGCUCACUAAUUUAAGUCAGGCAAAAAGUGACUGUUUAAUCUGUUCUGUCUGAUUCUGCACAAGACACACGGCAGAGUAUUUGCAUGAACUGCUUAAUCAGCAAGUUGCUGACACAUGACAGUGCAAUCUCCAAAAAGAGGGCAGAGACAAGCAGCUGCGGCUGAUAACCUUUUAUACUUGCACAAUUACCUCUGGAAGAUAUUAAUCCACUGCUUUGCUCCCUGUAAGCACCCAUUGGAAAUAGACCGAAGAGGAAAUGAAGUUUUUUGAGAAACGUCUACAGAAGAGCAAGCUAUCUGGUCUUCUGGCAAAUCAUCUGCCGUGUCAUCAUAUGUUAACCCUACAUCCCAUUGCAAUCUCAUCCUCAUGAUAAGUAACAGCAAGGUUACAGUGACUACUUCAACUAGAAGAUGACAGAGGUACUGACUGAAAUCACUGCCCAUGUUUGUUUGUGGGUAUGUUAACAGCGGGCUUUGGUUUCAGCAGGCAGGCAACAACUCUAGACACACUGCUGAUGGCAAAAGCAAAUGGUCAUCCCUCACAUGCCAGUAAUUUACUGUGAUUGUGCCAUCACGGUUUUCCCCAAACCCCCACCUCUUCCAGAGUUUUUCCCAGUAGCAUCACCUCUCUGCUGCUCUGACGGGGUGGACAAAGAAUACUUCGCUACGACAGCAGAACAGACUGUGCACAGAAUGUUUUUCAAGACAGAAUGCGGAUGGCCACCGACUCACCUCUGCUCACUCACUGGUAACCAAAGAGUUUGCGCAGUCUCUUUUGCAGCUGCUGGCUGCUACAUCUGCUCCCAGCCAACGAGUGCUCUUUGCGUAACGUCCUUGAGGUGAUGAGCACUCGCUCUCUCAGUUAUGCAACAAUGGCAACUUUCAUCAUAUACUCAUCACAUAUCAGCUCAUACCGCGUAUCAGGUCUUCCACGUCUAAGAUUUAUGAUUCUUAACCCGUUCUGGUAGUUUCUGGUAAUGAUUCUCUCCUUUUCCUACUCCAUUGGUUUUCCAUAACAGUAAGCUCUCUUUUUCAAACUCAUAUCACAGUUCUUUGGAAGAAAUGUUAGGAAAGGGAAUUCCAAGGUUUUAAUCAAGAAGAGAUAAACUCACAAUAUCAUUGUCACUGAACACUUUCAAUUUAUUAAUACAUUGCAGCUUCACACAGUGUAUAUAAGUUACAUUUUAUUUAUAAUGUAGAUGUAGGCAAAUAGUAACAUGCACACAACUUACUACAAUAGCUUAUUUUCCUGCUCUUCUAACAUUUAAAACUGUUUAUUUUAUGCUGUGUAGGAGGCAACGGGUAUGUAUAAAGGCAGGGUUUUUUGCCACAAUGACAAAUUUCAGUAACAUCUGAGUAACUCAAGGAUUUAUCAAACUUUAAAAUCUUAAUUUGUCUGAAAACAAAAAUUAAUCCAAGACUGACCUACUUAUUGUAAGCUUCUGGAAGUAAUUGCUUACACUUGUAAAACACUUAAAAAUUAUAAACUGUCAGAUUAUGUAAGAAAUCCAAAGCACCCAACACUCAGGUAAGACUUUAGCAAAAAAGCAUCUUUCAAAAACAUUUUAUAGGACCAUUACAUAACUAAACUUACCUGCACCAAGUGGUGUCUAUUUACCACUGGCAACUGAAAAAAUCUAAGUGCCGAAACCAGCCAAGACAUCAGUUCCACAGCACGUGGCAGGUUUUCAGAAUCAUCCCCUCCCUUUUUUUCCAGUAGGAACAAUUUUAUACCGAUCACCCACAUAAAUCUUCUGAAGUGAUGUCUGUAGAGCCUCUGUGUUGUAAUAUGUAGAACAAUGACUGCAUUCAGAAAGGCAAUCAUAUUUUUUGUUGUUUUCUUAACCUUAUCCCUCUCCUUAAUUUAUAAGAAGAGACACUAGAUAAGGAUUAAUAUCACUGUUAUUUGUGAAGGAGCUGGCAUAAGUGUAAAAUUGAUAAUUCCUGAAAUACUAUAGGAGAAAAAAAACCACAAAGGCAAAAACCAGCCCCCGCAACAAACCCCCAAAACACACCACAAAUAACAUUCAGGAUAUAAAUUUAGCAGAAUCAGAAAAAAACCCCACAACUGGAAUAUGACUUAUUCAUUAUUUUUUAUUACAUGGCAGAUGUCAGUCAGCAGGAAAGUAACAAAGAAAGCAAGAUAAGAGUGCCUUCCUUCUCUGCAGCAACAGCUCUUCAACCUGUAAUGGCAGUUAUUAUGCUCAGUUUUAGAUGUGAAAGUUGAUACUUAAAAAUCCAUUUGUAUCAAAUCACGAUUUAUUUAAUAAACAUUAAUCAGAUGCAGAAGAGUCUGCCAAAAUAUGAAAUUGUUAAUUGAAAUAAUUCACUGCAUGUAGAAAAGCCAGCUUUUAUCAAAAUCUGCUGACCAGGGAGUUAAGCCUGCUCCCCUGAGCCAGUGCGCUGACAGAACAGAACCUAAGGGGCUUUAAGGGGAACAGCGCACCGCGUAGUAAUGCUUCUACCUUGGAUCUCUCUUCUUUUUUAUCUUUCUUUUUUGUGCAUGAUCCAAAUGUAAACGACUCCAUGACAGGCAGUCACAACAAGCUGUUAGGUCUAUUGUGCUAAUCAUCUGCAAAUUAAACUGUAGUAAACCUAAAGUAAGUCUCUCUGCUAAAGUUGUUAAGACCUUCUCUGUCAAUAACCUGCACAAAAUGAAUGAUACAAUUAUACCUCAGCACAAACCGUAAUGACUACAAAUUACAGCAGUAAUUGUAUUAUACAGCAAAGUUAUUUGAUUAAUUGCUUACAAGGCAUAAUUAAUAAGCUGAAAUAAGAUUAUCUCUGUAUUCCAUCUUCACAGUCUAUUUUUCUGAAGAGUCAUUUUUGGGAAUUUUUUUACCCAACACCUCAUUGCUCUCACUGCCAGAAGUACUGAAUGCAUUUUUUGGGGGUGAAAGUCAUGAGCAUCAUCUUAAAUUACUGAGUAGAUGAUUAUAAUGAAGAUUAUGAAAAUCAGGGAAGAAGCCAGAACAGCAGUCGAGUCUGUUUUGGAAUAAGCUAAAGACCACCUGAGAGCUUUACAACUUCGUCCUUUGACAUGAUCUGGAAAAACAAUUUUCAGCAUCUUCAAACAAGGACGUUGGUCACCAGAAGAAGCUAUAUCAAACACCUGUACAAGCAAGCCUCAGCAUAAUAAACCCCCCCAUCAAGAUGAAGCUGCUGCACAAGCUUGAAUUAUUACAUUGUCAGCCAUGCUGUGAAAUCAACAGGAAGAACAAGACAGUAUAGCACAUCAGUAAAAAAUCUGCAUCUCUGCUUGACUGCACAGAUCGCAGCAUCUCCUAAGAUGCUGUUAUGCUCCUGCCAGUAUCAAUAUACCAUGAAGAGAUUUCCCAAUGAGCAGUGAUACAAUAGCUAGCCCUUUUGUCAGACUCUGAAUGGCACCAAUGUCUUUUGGUGCCCAGUCUAUCGGACAAUGCCUCCUUCUGUGGUGCCUCAAACCAGCAGUAAUCCAAACUUCCAACACAAUGUUCUGUUGUCUGUUUUUCUGCAGCAAGCUAACGAUGCUGACAGGACCUCACAUCUUACCAAGUAAUCAUUGUGUCGAAGGUACUUGGGUGGUAAUGAUUAUCUCUGCCUUUUGCCAGCUUUUUUCCUCCUUCAUUUUAUUCAUUGUUUUAACGGCAAUUGAAAAGACCAAACAAAAUUGAUAGUAAAAUAUACUACAGCAGCACUAAACACUGGCCAUCUUGUUGCACUGAUUAGACAAAACCGAUUCCGCUGAAUUUGAAUGUCGCUGGGAAUCCAAAACAUAAAUGUGUGGACAACUGUGGUGAUACAUGCUUUAUUUUUACUUGUUUGCAAAAAAAAAAAGCUGUAACUUUAUCAAACAUUAUAAACACUUUCAUUGCUGACAACCUUCUUCAAACAUCAACUACUGUAAUUUUCCACGCAUUUACAUAAUACUGGCUGAUUAAGCUGUCAGGGUUUUCAUUGCUGCUUGCUGCAGAAAUCAAAAAUAAAAACAUCGCAUUCGCGGUGGUUUGCCCUCAUAAGAUUUUGACACUAGAGCGUAGAAAACAGUAAAAUGGCUAAUCUGAACUGUAUGGAGGAGUAUUCUCCUCAAUUACUAAUUCUCUCAUCCACGCAGGAUUUAGCUGCUUUCCCCCAGUAUAAGAUCUGCCCCAGUUGGCAGCAACCCACUUAACAACCCAACCCAUGGAUCUGCAGUCCCACCUGGAGAGGACCACUGAAGUGGACACCCUCUGCAUUCACAACUCGUUCUGAAUUACAGGGUCUCCCACCCUGACAAUGCAAUUCUUACAGGAACUCUGAAGCCUCAAGGUCUGAAUCAUCUGAGAACCUACAGAGCUCUUACGAGAACUCAGCCUGGCUCUCCCCUAUGUUAUUUCAAUAUAAUGUAAUGCCACAUCUGCUGUGGCUUCCACUGAAGGACCACUGAUAUUCAUCUCAAGAUACAUAUGGCAAGAUAUGAGUUAUCGUAUGAACAUACCAGAUUUAUAACAAAAAUUAGCAUGUAAUUAUCACUGCUGCCUUUAUGUUGCCAUGCAGUUUCCUCUCAAAUACAUGUUGUCUCAUGGCUUAUAAUUAAAUUGCCAUCUCUGUAACUUCCACAGCAAGACCAAAGUUUUGAAGUUGAAAGGGUGUUCUGCAGAGAACUACCAAUAAUACAGAACAUCUAUAAAGCCAAAGGAAUACUCUGCUGUGGAUAAAAAACGAGUACUUUGAAUGCCUUUCCUUUCUGUAGAAAAGGAUAAGUACAAGAACUUUUGCUGCUGAACACUUUAAAAAUAUAAUUUUAAAAUAUCACAGAAAGGUAAAAGUAAUAAAUCCGUCCCCUAUGAAAGCAUCCCAUCUCGUUCCAAUAGAGUUUAAAUUAAUCCAGUCCAAAUAAAAACCCACAUAUACCAGUUUAACACUAUUCCAAAAAGGUGUUUAACAAUCCACAAUAUUAAACCACAAAAACAGCUGUGCCAAAGCUUCCCAAGCCACAAGAACUUAUUCUUAUGAACUGGUCUAUCCUAGCAUCGCAACCAGUUUAAGACAUAAUCAACUUUAGAAACACAAUUCUAAAAUAAGAACACAUAAAAGUUGUCUAGAAUGCUUGUGAGAAUUCUUCUUAAAUUUCUUCUUAAAAUUUUCCUUAACACCUUAAAUUGCCUCCAAAGCUCCAUUUGAGAACAUUCAUUUUCCCGGUUGUCAUCUUCACACCCAUUUACAAUAAUUUUCAUAGUCCAGAAAAAAAUGGAUUUUAUUUUUCUUCUGAAAAAGGUACAGAAUGGUCAGCUGCACUGUGACAUAGUGGUGUGCUUCUGCCCUCAUCUGCAACUAAUCUGCUUUCCUCAUUGAAAGCUGUCUUUUUAUCUUAGGCUGAGUUUUCACAGGGAAAUUAACAAUACUCUUAUGCUUACUGUGAAGUGUUAAUCCCUACACUAUAAAGAGAAAAGAUACUGUUAUAACUUAGUACCCCUUUAAGUGUUUUAUCUUCAACCAAGCUAUACCUGUUUUCCCCUUCUACUUCAGCUGUGCAUUGUGAAAGUCAAAAUAUAGUAGACACUUUUCAUCUUUUAUAGACUUGGUUUAUGUCACUGAAAUUAAUGCAACACCUCAACUCUCAAUUGAAAUCUAAGUACUGUACCGUGUUAUGUAAAUAAUUCCUUUGAACUGAAAAAAAUGAAUAGGUCAUUACCUGUAAUUCUGCAUCUGUCCGGUAAAGAAGGCCUAUGCCGUUUGAGCUUUUUGGUUAUUUUUAUUGUGUUAGUGGCAGGGAUGAGAUAACUGGAGCUGGAAAGAAAGUGGGGAUUAUACUGGACGUCUAGUGAGUGCAACUGUGUAUCAACUUUUUACUCUUCAUAAAGCUGAAAUUUUAGUUAUUCCACUUCAGAAAAAAAAUCUGAAAUUAAAUACGAUUGUAUGAAUGGCAAAUUACUAAUGCACUGAUUUACACUCUGGUGAAGGUUUUGGUGAACCUUUCCAUCUCUAUAAUGAUGAAAAGGAAGGUAAAAUUACUUUUUCAUGACCAGAAGAGAGAUGCAUCUUUACAAUAAAGAUUUUCAGAAGCAAUACUAUACUUCUACUCCUAUUACUUCAAAAAUUUUGUGAGUCUUGAGUCAUUAAGAGUCUAUAAAAAAUUCUUUCAGUGGAAACAGAAAAGCCCACAUGAUUUGAUUGGUUUUAAUUGUAGCAAGUUCUAUUGAUUUCCUGUAGGAUCCACAGGAAGUACAGGUUGAAAAUGAAUGACAGAAUGUUUCCUUCAGAAUAAGAGAGCUAUCAGCUGUGUAAUAAGGGCUCAGGGAGCCUAAGCAAUUAUGCAAAAUUCAAAGGCAUCUGGAGAACAUGAACAGUUA